UAGGGAAUCUUCGGCAAUGGACGAAAGUCUGACCGAGCAACGCCGCGUGAGUGAAGAAGGUUUUCGGAUCGUAAAACUCUGUUGUUAGAGAAGAACAAGGACGUUAGUAACUGAACGUCCCCUGACGGUAUCUAACCAGAAAGCCACGGCUAACUACGUGCCAGCAGCCGCGGUAAUACGUAGGUGGCAAGCGUGGUCCGGAUUUAUUGGGCGUAAAGCGAGCGCAGGCGGUUUCUUAAGUCUGAUGUGAAAGCCCCCGGCUCAACCGGGGAGGGUCAUUGGAAACUGGGAGACGUGAGUGCAGAAGAGGAGAGUGGAAUUCCAUGUGUAGCGGUGAAAUGCGUAGAUAUAUGGAGGAACACCAGUCGCGAAGGCGGCUCUCUGGUCUGUAACUGACGCUGAGGCUCGAAAGCGUGGGGAGCAAACAGG
This 429-nucleotide ribosomal RNA is filed under the name Gemmatimonadota bacterium. RNAcentral's name for it is "Gemmatimonadetes bacterium partial 16S ribosomal RNA". It matches the Rfam family "Bacterial small subunit ribosomal RNA", at positions 355 to 776 of the family's 1533-position model. The record is from RNAcentral. Lineage: Bacteria; Pseudomonadati; Gemmatimonadota.